UUCUUUACGACAGCAUAUGGAAGAGGGCGCCGUGUCAACGGCCUCAUUCCAUUCGGAACUGAAAUAGCGCGUAUCUUCAGCGCAAACGAGAAGGUAAAAAAGAAUCUGCUACCUCCCCAAUUGCAAGAAGCAUUUCAAGCAACUGGGCUGAUGAUGUAAACCAAUUUACUACGACCACCUUGUGCCAUUUAUGUAACCAUUUCAGUUAUUACUC
Molecule: long non-coding RNA, 214 nt
Organism: Thrips palmi
Lineage: Eukaryota; Metazoa; Arthropoda; Insecta; Thysanoptera; Thripidae
Exons: 3
Source: RefSeq, a predicted model, not a curated record